AACGGCCAUACCAUUAUGAAUAUACCGGUUCUCGUUAGAUCACCGAAGUCAAGCAUCAUUGGGCGCGGUCAGUACUUGGGUGGGUGACCACCUGGGAACACCGCGUGCCGU
Non-coding RNA from Caerostris darwini, 111 nucleotides. The record is from the annotation of a GenBank genome assembly. Lineage: Eukaryota; Metazoa; Arthropoda; Arachnida; Araneae; Araneidae.